RNAcentral lists this ribosomal RNA (252 nucleotides) under uncultured bacterium. Its description in RNAcentral is "partial 16S ribosomal RNA". It matches the Rfam family "Bacterial small subunit ribosomal RNA", at positions 524 to 776 of the family's 1533-position model. The record is from RNAcentral.
UACGUAGGGGGCAAGCGUUGUCCGGAAUUAUUGGGCGUAAAGCGCGCGCAGGCGGUUUUGUAAGUCUGGUGUAUAAACCCAGGGCUCAACCCUGGGAGGCACGGGAAACUGCAAGACUGGAGUACAGGAGAGGAAAGUGGAAUUCCACGUGUAGCGGUGAAAUGCGUAGAGAUGUGGAGGAACACCAGUGGCGAAGGCGACUUUCUGGCCUGAAACUGACGCUGAGGCGCGAAAGCGUGGGGAGCAAACAGG